RNAcentral lists this ribosomal RNA (447 nucleotides) under uncultured bacterium. Its description in RNAcentral is "bacterial SSU rRNA". It matches the Rfam family "Bacterial small subunit ribosomal RNA", at positions 329 to 792 of the family's 1533-position model. The record is from RNAcentral.
GUCCAGACUCCUACGGGAGGCAGCAGUCGGGAAUAUUGCGCAAUGGAGGAAACUCUGACGCAGUGACGCCGCGUAUAGGACGAAGGUCUUCGGAUUGUAAACUAUUGUCGUUAGGGAAGAGAAAGGACAGUACCUAAGGAGGAAGCUCCGACUAACUACGUGCCAGCAGCCGCGGUAAUACGUAGGGGGCAAGCGUUAUCCGGAUUUACUGGGUGUAAAGGGAGCGUAGACGGCAAUGCAAGCCAGAUGUGAAAGCCCGGGGCUCAACCCCGGGACUGCAUUUGGAACUGUGUAGCUGGAGUGUCGGAGAGGCAGGCGGAAUUCCUAGUGUAGCGGUGAAAUGCGUAGAUAUUAGGAGGAACACCAGUGGCGAAGGCGGCCUGCUGGACGAUGACUGACGUUGAGGCUCGAAAGCGUGGGGAGCAAACAGGAUUAGAUACCCCUGUA